RNAcentral lists this ribosomal RNA (482 nucleotides) under Streptococcus mutans. RNAcentral describes it as "bacterial SSU rRNA". It matches the Rfam family "Bacterial small subunit ribosomal RNA", at positions 28 to 485 of the family's 1533-position model. Lineage: Bacteria; Bacillati; Bacillota; Bacilli; Lactobacillales; Streptococcaceae. The record is from RNAcentral.
GACGAACGCUGGCGGCGUGCCUAAUACAUGCAAGUGGGACGCAAGAGAACACACUGUGCUUGCACACCGUGUUUUCUUGAGUCGCGAACGGGUGAGUAACGCGUAGGUAACCUGCCUAUUAGCGGGGGAUAACUAUUGGAAACGAUAGCUAAUACCGCAUAAUAUUAAUUAUUGCAUGAUAAUUGAUUGAAAGAUGCAAGCGCAUCACUAGUAGAUGGACCUGCGUUGUAUUAGCUAGUUGGUAAGGUAAGAGCUUACCAAGGCGACGAUACAUAGCCGACCUGAGAGGGUGAUCGGCCACACUGGGACUGAGACACGGCCCAGACUCCUACGGGAGGCAGCAGUAGGGAAUCUUCGGCAAUGGACGAAAGUCUGACCGAGCAACGCCGCGUGAGUGAAGAAGGUUUUCGGAUCGUAAAGCUCUGUUGUAAGUCAAGAACGUGUGUGAGAGUGGAAAGUUCACACAGUGACGGUAGCUACCA